This is a long non-coding RNA of Melanaphis sacchari, 656 nucleotides long. RefSeq lists it as uncharacterized. The record is from RefSeq and is a predicted model, not a curated record. Lineage: Eukaryota; Metazoa; Arthropoda; Insecta; Hemiptera; Aphididae. The transcript is spliced from 3 exons.
GUUACCCACAGUUAUAUGUAUAAAAUAUUUUUAUAUAUCUGUGCCCUGUGGUGUUACCUUUAGGCUAUAAGUCAUUUUUUACAAUUAUUUAUGUAUAAAAUUACCCAGAUUUCACUUUAAACGUUCAAUAUCUUGUGAAGUACUAUUUAUAAUUAUUAAUUUAUUACUUGAAUAAAAACGAAUUUUUCAGUGUUGGUAAAAAAAAAUAUUAUUUAAAAUCAAUUAGAGUUAAAGAUUACAUCAGAAUCAAAAAAUUGAACAAAUAGAUUUGUUGAAGAUUUAGUUACUGAAAAUAUAGAUAACAAUAACUUACUGCUCACGGAAUUUGUUAGCUGCUGCUGCUGCAGCCAGGAAUUCCAGUUGUGAACCUGACAAAAUGUUAAAAGAAUUUAAUUUUUUUCAAGUAUAACUUAGGGACUAAAACUCUAGAAGUUAAAAUCAAGCAAACCUCAAAAUUGUCGGACAAAUGCAAAUUGCCACACAAUAUUUGAAAAAAAUGUCAUUUUGGCUUUUGCCUAACUUCAUUUAGCAUUAUUGCAAAGACUUUUAUCAUAAGAUUUUAUCACGAUUAUUAAUGAUCAUACUUAGUCAAUCUAUCAUUGUUAUUUUAUUUUAUUUACUAUUUAUAUUAUAUGUAUACAAAAUACACCUUUGAA